AUUGGGGGAUUUGGAAGACCUAUGGCCUCUGGGUUCUCUUAGCUACUUCGCUUUGGUAUUUAGAAAUCCUAUUUCCUAGCCUUAUAGAUCAGAGACUCAGUAGGAAACGGUCAAGUUUAUCCACGCUAGGAAUAAAAAUGGGACAGGGGCAGGCAGCAACAGGGAAAUCUCUUUUACUUGGCCCGGGGCCAUGAGCUCUUGUGUAUAAUAGCAGCUGGACCCCUGAGCACCUCCUGCCUUUCCCAAAUAUACCCCCACACACGCACCCCCACACCCCCACACACUAUGAUGUAAUUUUAUUUUCUGGAGGAAAAAAGCCAUGAGCUCAGCAUGCAAAUAUAGACAACAAAGCCACACUUAGCUGUCUCCUAGCUCUGUCCUUCUGCCUAGGCCCAGUGUGAUAAUUCUCACUUCCCCUACACCUCAGGGACUUUCCUCCUCCAGAGGCUCACUCAGCCGGGCUGAAAGAGGGAGGAGGGAGGAGGGAGAAUUGGAGAAGCAUCCGAUUUUCACCCUACCUCCAUGAGGGGCGUCAGCUCAGCUCUGCAAGUGCCUGACCCUGAGAACGGCUUCAAUGUUUGCACACCACCAGGAACACCCCAUUUUGCCUUCAGGUCCAGCUGAUCAGAGACCCUUCCAGAAGCCUAAGAUGAGCCCCUUCUUCUGGGAGGAGCAGGUCCUGGUCCUGUGCCUUAGGUUUCAUAUAUAGUUCUUCUCUUUGCUCCUCUUACCCCCAGCCCCACCCCCACCCCCCACAUGGCUGCCCAUUGCUCCUUUGAGGGUAACUAAUAUACCCUCAGAAGUUGCUUUUGUUUCUGAGUCGCUGUAGGGUCGGAAUCUAUCAUGUUGACCCAUCUUUGAGACACAGAGUGACUGUACACUUUUGCAUAGACAUACCACAUUUACAUGAGACAAAUGAGGCAGAGCAAAACACAGAGAAUGUGGACUUUAUACUUAUUCUGUUUCCAUAGACAAAUUAAGUCCAUAAAGUUGAGGAUACCAGUCUCACUUCAUAGGGUUCUUCUGAGAAUCAGGAAUAAUAAAGUUUUUAGGGACUGGUACCAGAUAGGUGCAAAAAAAAAAAAUCAAAGACAUGUAGUCUAGUAUCUUUUGAUCUAUAUGAAGUGAAUCCCAUAAUAUUUUUAUGAUGUAACCUAAUACCCAAUUACCUAUUAGUUAUCCAUUACAUGUGAUUAGGUCGAUUAGAUAUCUGGUUUCUGCUUUAUAUACUUCUGUCGCUUUCCCUAAGAAUACUUCCUGGAUUUGACUGUGGAGAGUGACAACUUUUCUAAUCUUAGGACUCAUUUUUCUAUACUUAGACAUCCAAUAACUUUGCUCUGCCUUAACAAAAACUAGUAGCAUGCAUAAUAUGGUGAUAUACCACCGUAAGACUUAGAAUGUUGAGGCAGGAUUAUUCCCAUCUUCGGCUACAUAGUGAUACCCUAUCCAUAAACAACAACAAAGGAUGUUUCCUUAUUUAGAAGCUUAUUCGGGAGUUUGGUCCUUUCAUGCUCCCAUCUUGUAUAUGUUUACUCCCACCUGAGCCUGUCCUGCGGAGUACGGGUGCGCACGAGUCCUUUUUAUAGAAGCCCAAUAGAUCUAAGUCUAGGGGAUACUCUUGGUUCCAAUAGCAAUGCCCUCUCAUUACGACAACCACUACACAGGCCAGAUCCUCCCAAACUUACUCUGAUCAAAACAGUUUCUGAAACGGGGUUCCUUGCCUCUGCUUUUACAUGACCCCUCCUCCCUAAGUCUAUCCUGGCUUUUGCUACCAGAUGAAAUUUUGUCUUUCCCCAGUUCAUAGGAUUCAGUUCAGACAUCUCUACAGAACAACCCCAUUAUGCUUACCCAACCUCGUGGCCACAACUUGAAUUUCUCUUUACUUUUCAGACCUCUGGUGGGACUAACACACCUUGCUAAUGCUUUUGAGGUUUGUUUCUUUGUUUUUGUUUGCUUUGACUGGGAUGUCCCUGUCCUAAUUCCUUUGCCUCCAUUCAAAGCCCAUUCUUCAAUUGAAGGUCUGGAGAAGGUUUGUUUCCAUUGUGGAAGUCACCGAGCCCAUCUUCUUGUUGUUGUUUUGUUGUUGAUGUGUUUUUUGUUGUUUGUUUAUUCUCUAAGACAGGUUUCCUCUGUAUAGCCCUGGUGUCCUGGAAGUCGAUCUGUAGACAGGGUUGGCUUCCAAUUCAGAGAGAUCUGCCUGCUCUGCCUCCGGAGUGUUGGGAUUAAAGGCAGACGAGUCAGCUCAAGAGCAGGGACAGGCCUGGCACACUCUGUUCUUCCAGAGCCCAACAGCAGCAGUGCACAAAUGCCAUGUGUUCAGAAAAGGCUUGUUGACUCGGGGUGGAUACUGCCUGGGGAGAGAGCCCCCAACCCUGCUCAUCAGCCCUCUAACUCACUCCUAACAAGGCACAGCACCCACAGUUAAAUCUCCUCUUCAACGGUCACCUCCCUCCUCCUAUAAGGGUCUAGCCUUGGACCGAUGUCUCCUGCUUCUGGACAGUGCUCGUUUCCUUGACAGUCAGAGAACUAACUAUACUGAGAGAACUAACAGUACAGAGAAGCACUGGUGCUCAGCUCGAGGUCACAGCACCCUAACCUCACCCAGUCCUGUCCAAUCUGAGGCCAGAAGAGGGUGAUGGCUCCCCUGUAGCUGAAACAGCCACCAGACGUGGGUGCCAAGAACUGAGCUCAAGUCCUCUGGAAGAGCAGCUAAUCUCUGAGCCAUUUCUCCAGCUCAGUUCCUACAUCUCUUAACAUAAGUAUUUAUACCUGGCACUCAUCAGUGUUUGCCACAUUCCUGUUUGCUCAUUCAACAGUAAACCUGAGAAAUUGGGGAUUCAGCUGAAAACAGAGCCAUCUCUUGGAACGUGGAAUCUGCUGAUUCUCUGAGUAUACGUUUGUGUGCAGUGUUGUGCUCAGCCUCUCACCAGAGCACUGCUUUUCAGCUUUGGUACAUUGCCUGUCUGCCUCUGCUCCGGGAAUCACAUCUCAUAUCCCAUGCAGUUCACUUCCCAUCCCCUUCCCCCCUUUGCUCAGGAUGCCCAUGCUCUGUGUCUGCGGUGCUCGUGAGCAUGCAGCAGGCAUACUUCCUGGAUCCCCAGCUAGGAAGUGGGGAGAGGAAUUCUGAAACAAAGAAGGAGCCCCAGCCCAAGUCCCCACCUUAGGACCACACAGUUUGAGCAGAGCCUCUUACCAGCGGGAAGUCAUCAGGAUCAAUCCAGAUGAUACUGAGGUCGGGGUUCUCAGUGUUGUCUUGGGCCACAGCCUUGAGAGUCUCUAAGAACUCAUAGCCAUCUUGGAGGGAGCAGAAGUAAAAGUGAGGAGGAACAGACAGGAAAGGGACACAGGAAAUGAGUCCAGACCUAUUUCCCUACCUCCUACGACACCAACACCUUUCAAGCCCUAGGCUGCUUGCAAACUCCCAGGAAUGCCUUCCAUGUGAGGCCUACGAUCCAACAAAUACACCCCCUUCCCCCAGGCCGCUCCAGUGUCCUCUCCUCACCGGGAUCUGCUUCCUCUGCAAAGGCGACAAUGUGGAUUCCAUCCAGGUCAUCCUCCUGUUGGAGGGUGAGGAGGGGAGCAGGGUUAGAGCUGGGGAUGGGGGUGGUGGGGGAGACCUUACUGUCCUCCCGUCCAACCCCUUGCCCGUUGCUUGAAUCUGACUCCUGGAAUGGCAGCUUAUGUUUUCACGGUGGUGACUUUUCUAAUGGCAUCCUUUCUGCUCUAGGGAUCCUGUCAGCUCCAGAGUUUGAGUCAGCCUUGUCAUGUUCAUUGUCAUGCCUGUCACUUGAGACCUGACAUGGUCUUCGGUACAGAAACAAAACAAAUAAAAACCAACCCACGUGCCCCUUG
This is a long non-coding RNA of Mus musculus (house mouse), 3852 nucleotides long. RefSeq annotates it as predicted gene 17224. The record is from RefSeq and is a predicted model, not a curated record. The transcript is spliced from 4 exons. NCBI's taxonomy places the organism in Eukaryota, Metazoa, Chordata, Mammalia, Rodentia, Muridae.